Molecule: ribosomal RNA, 406 nt
Filed under: uncultured bacterium
Lineage: Bacteria
Description: partial 16S ribosomal RNA
Rfam family: Bacterial small subunit ribosomal RNA
Source: RNAcentral
AUUGAACGCUGGCGGCAGGCCUAACACAUGCAAGUCGAACGAGAGGGGGACGGGUGAGUAAUGUCUGGGAAACUGCCUGAUGGAGGGGGAUCACUACCGGAAACGGUAGCUAAUACCGCACACCAUAGGAUGUGCCGCGGUGGGAUUAGCUAGGGGUUGGGGUAAAGGCUCACCAAGGCGACGAUCCGUAGCUGGUCUGAGAGGAUGACCAGCCACACUGGAACUGAGACACGGUCCAGACGCCUACGGUAGGCAGCAGUGGGGAAUAUUGGACAAUGGGCGCAAGCCUGAUGCAGCCAUGCCGCGUGUGUGAAGAAGGCCUUCGGGUUGUAAAGUACUUUCAGUGGGGAGGCGUUACCAGCAGAAUAAGCACCGGCUAACUUCGUGCCAGCCGCCGCGGUAAUAC